UACGGAGGGUGCAAGCGUUAAUCGGAAUUACUGGGCGUAAAGCGUGCGUAGGUGGUUGUUUAAGUCAGAUGUGAAAGCCCCGGGCUCAACCUGGGAAUGGCAUUUGAUACUGGGCAACUCGAGUUUGGGAGAGGCAAGUGGAAUUUCAGGUGUAGCGGUGAAAUGCGUAGAGAUCUGAAGGAACACCAGUGGCGAAGGCGGCUUGCUGGCCUAAAACUGACGCUGAGGCACGAAAGCAUGGGUAG
RNAcentral lists this ribosomal RNA (245 nucleotides) under uncultured bacterium. RNAcentral's name for it is "partial 16S ribosomal RNA". It matches the Rfam family "Bacterial small subunit ribosomal RNA", at positions 524 to 768 of the family's 1533-position model. The record is from RNAcentral.